UCUACUUAGAAAUAAAAGCCUCCAAAACAUAUGUUUUGGAGGCUUUUUUAUUUUGUGCGUUACAGUAA
Molecule: unclassified non-coding RNA, 68 nt
Filed under: Cellulophaga lytica
Lineage: Bacteria; Pseudomonadati; Bacteroidota; Flavobacteriia; Flavobacteriales; Flavobacteriaceae
Description: ctRNA_p42d
Source: RNAcentral